UGAGCAAGUGAGUGAGUGAGUGAGUGAGUGGUGAGUGAAUGGGUGAGUGAAUAAGUGAAUGAGUGAGUGAGGGAGGGAAUGAAUGAGUGAGUGAAUGAGUGAGUGAGGGAAUGAAUGAAUGAGUGAGUGAGCGAGUGAGUGAACCAGUGGCCCAUGUCUCCCCUGAGACAGUGGAGGGAUAUGUCGAGUACAUGCGUAUUGGAUGCUGCUCCAAACACCUGACUUGCCAGGAGCAGCCAGCUGAGUGGAGGGCAUGAUUCACUGCGAAGGGGACAAGGAGAGCGAAAGUCAUGUCUUGUGGGGUGGAGGGAUCACAUGCAGCAUCCAGACCUAGUGGAGACCUGUCUUUUGUUUCUUUUUUCUUUCCUUUUUAACCAGACAGGGGAUCAAACUCAUAGCAAACACUCUGCCUCUGAGCUAUAUCCCCAGCCCUGGCUUUGGGGAGCUGCCACAGGACGACAAGGCCCUAACCACUUGGAAGUCUUGCACUAUCCCCUUGAGAUGUGGGUUCUGAAAGGGCCUCUGAUGGGCUUCAAAUGGUCCAGAGACCCUUCCUUGCCCAAAAAUCGUCAGGUGCCUGUCCUAACAGUCCUGUGAGGACCUUACCUAAUGACAGGCUGAAGAGUGGACCUCAGAGCCAAACAUGGGUUCUGAUUUUGCAAGAAAAGGAGAAAAAUGCUGGGCAGAUCAAAAUAACUUGUGUCCUCUACCCACUGGAAAGUUCCACAGUGACAAAAGAUGAGUGUCUGAAUCAAGAUCAGGGGUUUCACAAAGCCAGUUCUGUAGGACCUCAGUUUCCUCAUCUGCAGAAUGGGAAUAAAGCAAGAGCCCAGGUGCAGAUCACAUGGCAUGGUGUACUCUUUCCUGACCCUUCCUGAGCAACAGCCUGGAAGCACAGCCUGGGAGUGUAGUGAGUACCCUGUCUUCAUCCAGGGAGCUUGGGCUUGCCCUUCUCUGCCUUGAACUCACCCAGCAGCUGUAGCCUGCCAGCCUCCCAGGGUGUGACACAGCUGUAGGAAAUGGGUUACCAGUCAGGUUUAGGACACUGAUCUGGGAGGCUCUGAGGACCAAAGUGCUAUAUCUGCCUGCUGCCGUGACAACCCUCAGCUGAGAAGUGGCCAUUUUUCUGUCCUGGAAUCUGAGUGACUGAGAGUUACAAAGGGUCAGUGUCCCCUCUUGAUUACUGAGAACUGAGCUGGUAGCUCUGGGUGGAAGACACCAGUAACACAGCAGAUAACAGUGUCCCUUGAGAGUAAACCAGGUGCCUUCUGGUCCCCAGUCCCUGGCACAGCAUUGGAUUAUCGCAUGGCCCUGGCCAUGCCUAAUACUGGUUGGGCCUUUGUGUGAUAACACACCCAGCUCUGCUCUCCAUUGAUCACCACACAUGGAGGCCAAGGUGCCCUCUCAUGACCAUGCUCUGAGCAGGACACACACACACACACACACACACACACACACACACACACACACACACACACACACAUGCUCCAGUGCUCCCAAGUAAUAGCCCAGACACCUUAAUUAAGCCCUCAAGCUUCCUUGCGUCCUGGUCACUGCUGAGCUAACCAGCUUUCUGCCACCAUACUACAGUCUCGUUCCAGCACUGGCAGGUCCCUAACCAUAGCAUGAUUUCUACCGAUUGCCUCAUGCUCUCACAUCUUUCUGGAAUAUUCCAAUGAUAUUAUAUCCACCGCCUUAUUGCCCAGCUCGAAUGUUCCACUUUCUAUAAAGACAGCCCUAAACCAUCGUCCAAAACAUUACUUUCUCCUCUGCUUCCACACAUGCCCUGUGCAUCAUAGCAUCUCCUAUGCUCCCUUAGAUUCAUACCAGGAGCUUAACAGGAUAAGGCUUUUGUCUGCUUUCAUCACCAGGCUCCCAGCCUGCAGCAGGGUAGCCUAGCAAGCAGAGUUAUUCACUGGAGAGAGAGAGGCCUGGAAGAGGUGUUUGCAGGCCUAGUACUGACCUCCUUAUGAACUCUACCUACAGGAAGUGGCAGAGACUGAUGCCCUCCAAUUUCUCCUUCAAAACCUUCUUUAAUACAGAACGCUAUUCUGAGGCUGGAAGUUUCCUCAAAACCCAGGCAAGCUGCACACCCAUUCCCAGGACAGUUACAAAGCACAGCUGAUACCUUUGGGGUGCCUGUCUUCCUGGUUGUUCGAAAGCAAAAGUAGUGUUGGGGUCUGUGAAACCUGACGCCGGGUUCCUUGCACAAAGCAGUUGUGCACAGAGCCUGUAGAUUUCCUUUCCUGAGUCUUCAGACAGCUCUCUGACCUACGCAAGGUCAAGACUCACUAUGACUGAAGCCUUGAGCACACAAAGUGAGGAGGGAAGAAUGAGAAGAGCCUGACAAGCAUGAAGUUCUGGGUUCAAAUCCCACCACCACAGAGAGAGGAGGAACCAGAGAGGGACUCUAGGAGGAGGGUAAAGUGCAUAGCUGUUGUGACUCUCACUUUCCUCAUCUUUAAGAUGGAGAGGAAUCCAUGGAAAGAUAGCUUAAUGGUGUGUGUGCCCUUCCUUCUAAGGAGGAAUAGUUAGGUUUUCUCUAUUAAAAAAAAAACAACAACAACAACCACAAGUCAACUACAACCCACUCAUCUUGAUUUACAAGAGGAAGAUGUUGGAAAGAUACAUCAGGGUGUGAGAAUUCUUUCUAUUCUUCCCGAGAGCCUAAGUUGCAUUCACAGCACCCAUACCCAGUGGCUCAACUGCCUGUCACUCCAGCUCCAGUAGUUCCAACGACCUGUUCUGGCUUCCCCAUGCAGCUUGACUGAAGGCUAGGCUGGAUACCAUGCAAGGAAACCUGACCAGCAAACCAGAACCCUGAGGGCUCCAGGCUCACCACUUACUACGUGACUCCACAUCCUAACAGGCAAGUUAAGGCGAACCUCUGCUUCCCAGCUUGUAAAUUGGGUAAAUUGAAAGAGCUUCCAGCUGCACAGGCCAACACGGUCUUUCUUUCCUGCGGCUCAACAGAUUCUCCCUCAAAGCUGUGAAGGUGCGCGGGCUCGCCGGCGGAGUAAGUGGGACCACGUCUCGGAUUGGGUGGAUUUGAGUGGUUGAAAUUUGCUGAAAUACCGCCAUCUGGUGGUCGCGAGGCAACACUGCAGGUCCAGGACUCUCAGGAAAACAAUGGGGCGACAAGGGGUGCCCAGCCCUGCUCAGAAAUGCGACCGGCUCCCCAUUGUCUGCGGGGUAAAGUCCGAAAGCCAAGCCUGGAAUUCAAGCACCUCCACAAUCGGCCCCGCCUCACCUAUCCGGCCUUAUCUCGGCUCCGACCUCCUGCCCUGGCCAGGCCCAGCUCCUCCCUGAACCUCCAAGCUGGGUCCAGCCUCUCACUAGGGCCAGUCUCGUGCUCCAUACUGACAUCAGCCCAGCUUCUAGGUCAGCUCUUCCAGGAAGCCUGCCUGGUCCAUCGCCGCAUCAAGGUUCUCUCCUUCCCUCCCACCAACUCUUAACAGAGUCGGUUUCAAUACUGAUGCUGCGUGUUGGAUGCUGGAGUCAAACUCUGGAAUGCUGUGUGUUGGAUGCUGGAGCCAAACCCAGCCCAUGGAGUGAUUGAGGCUGGGAGCCGAUCUAGACUGCUCUGCUCCCAGCCACCAGCAACAAAGACAGAGGUGGUGGCAUCCAAUUCGCAGGCCUGCUAUGACAAUCACAUAAUGGCCACAGUAGAAGUGACCAGGAUGGCUAGAUAAAACACAGGACACCCAAUUGAUCUGGAACCUCAGAUUAGAAUACUGUUGAAUCUAGACACCGUGAUGCAUGCCUAUAUUCCCAGCAUUUAGGAGGUGGAGGCAGAAAGAUCAAGGUUGUCCUCGGCUACCUGCAGCUUGAAGCCAGCAAUACCAGACUGUUUCAAGCCCCCACCCCUAAGAAAAGGAGGGGGAAACAACUUCCCUUUUUUGUUUAUUUGUUUUGUUUUAGUAUAUUUCAAAAAUUACAAAGUGAUUGCGUUCAUGGCUCACAUUAAGACUUGGUGUCGAUAGGCAGUGGUGGAACACGCCUUUAAUCCCAGCAUUCAGGAGGCAGAAGCAGGCGGACCUCAGAGUAGCUCCAGGACACUAAAGGCUACACAGAGAAACCUUGUCUGGAAAAAUCAAAUUAAAAAAAAAAAUUAAAAAAAAGGCUUAGCGUCCAUUUCCAGCUGUGUUUAUGAUGUAAUAGACAGAUGGCCUUCAUACUGCUAGAAGUGUUUGUUUUAGUCUAUCAAAAAUUGUUUGCCUACCAAGGACUAAGAUUCCACAGAUCUCCCCUACCUGGUAAACCUUUUGUUUAUGCAAAGCACGCUUCAUAGCCUGCAGCGCAGCCCUUUCCUUCAUUGUCUUUGCAGUGGACUCUUUCAAAACUAACCAAUAGCAAAAGUCUGUAAGCUCAGACUCUAGCCAAUGGGAGAGAGACACAGUCAUCACCUGUUGUAAAGUUCCUACCCGACCUGACAUGCUUGCAAGCCUGCUGGGUCUUGGCACACCCUUUUUGCAAAAAGAAUUGCAUUGCCAAGCUACUUUCACUUCAUUUGUGAGCCACCUAGAUUGUUUUCUGUUUGUUUCUAACACUGCUCUGGAAUUCUGAAAUGGAGUGUGUGUGUGAGUGUGUGUGUGUGUGUGUGUG
Molecule: long non-coding RNA, 4605 nt
Filed under: Cricetulus griseus (Chinese hamster)
Lineage: Eukaryota; Metazoa; Chordata; Mammalia; Rodentia; Cricetidae
Description: lncRNA (ENSCGRG00015030200.1)
Source: RNAcentral